UGCUUCGGUCUCGUGGCUUCUGGAGCCUUCUAGAUGUAAUAUAAUUGCGCGGCACGUUAAUAUCUCUAUGUAAUCCCGACGUGUGGGCCUUUCUUCCGUAUUUCCUGAUAACCCCCUGCAGAAAUAGACAAACACCAAAACUCGUGGAAUUCUGUCAGAUAAAACCCUAAGUCUAGAUGUUGAUUUCAUUUGGAUCCUUUUCUUUGUUUAUUUGAUAAUUAAAUUUGAUACUUAAGGACCGUCAACAAACUCCCCCAAUCUUACCUCUUGCUCGUCCCUGAGCAAGGAUAGACUCAGCUAUGGAUCAGAAAUAAUUGCAAAAUCUUUAAAAAAAUUGACGGUACACAUGCUCUUAAAUAAGAACUCAUCUCUGAGUUAGAGUAAACUGUCAAGACUUAAAACUUACUUACUUUACCUUCACCAUGGGACUUGUAACCGUCACUUCUGUCUUGAGUAGUUAAAAGAUAGAACAGUCUAGUCAAGUGCCAUGUCUCUCAUUCUUGAUCAGCUAGGUUUUUGCAGAUUUUUCAAAUAAAACUCAGAGAUUCCUUGUAUGACUCUCUCAAAUCUCUCUUUUGUGGUAUUUCUGGAUCCUUACCAAGGUAGUGAUGGUAUAUGCCUUCUCUCAAGAAAUGUAGUAUUUCUGGUAUGAGGUAUAGUGACAUUGCCCUCUCUCUCACCCUACUCUAAUAAGGCUUUAAUAUCUGGAGCUCAUAGGUGGGAGAUAAAGUAUACAUACUUACAAGACAUGUAUUGCAUAGUCAAACCAUGGAUCCAAAGAAAUAAAUCAAUAAGCCAAAUCAAGAUGUGCAUGUGUGGCGAAUGAAUGAUGUAUGGUGAUGAUGGUGAUAACAAUGGUGAAAACAAUGGUGGUGGAAGUCUAAUUCUACUUUGCUCUUUGAGGGGAUACAUACCUUCCUUGCUUUUGAAACUUUAUGAGGAGAAUGAGAUGCUCUUCUUUUUCUUGUCUCUCAGGUGGGUAUCUUGUACCCCUAAUUCUACUAUCGGACACUUGUCCAUUUUUACCUCUCGUCUCACUUUUUCUUUUCUUUCGAGGUUCCGAGCACUUGCUCCUUUUUAUUUCCUCGUUUUUAUUAUUUUCUUUUUCUCUCUUCUUCUCUUUUUUUUCAGAGCAUUCAUCUCUUGAGAUAAUAUAGCAAGUGGUAGUAACAAGAUAACUUGAGUAUUUAUUUCACAAGGGGAAACAGAAUUAUUUUUGGUUAUUCUCUCCCGGAUUAGGAGUAGAAUAUUUUUCGGUGAUUCUGGAGAUGGAAUGGAUGGAUAUAUGUGGAUGGUACUUCCGGAGUAGAAGUAGCAUAUAUGAGUGAACGUGCAAGUGAAUCUUGAUUUAACCACAUGACAAGCUCCUAAGGGUCUACACAGCUUGACCACACUCAAUGCUCAUAAGCAGUAAAUAUUAAAUGUGUGGCUCAAAGUCUAGCAAGCAUGUAUAUAUGGCUGUGGUAGGAAUUUAAACUCUCAUCAUACAGGAACUCAUCAUGCAACAUUUUAAAGAUUUUCAAAGAUAAAAUUCUCCAGAAUUCUAGCAUCUCUAGGAACAGAUAAACAGCAGCUCAACCUUCUCAUAUCGUAUCCGUUAACAACUUAGACUUCAGAUCAAGUUUUCAUCCCACAAGUUUAGGUCUAGAGCAAGCCUUAAAUUAUAAAAGUUAUAUCUAAACUUGAGAGAGAACUUAAAAUGUGCAAAUUAGGCAGAGCAACUAUUCAUCACAUCCAUGCUUAAGUUUUAUUUAGAUACAGAUUAGCAUAGCCACUUUAUUUAUUUAUUAAACACACUAAGCAAAAGAUAAAUAAGCACGAAAUCUUUAUUUGGUUUUUCCUAGUUUAUGUAUUUUAAUAUUCUAAUAUAAUAUAAGUAUGAAGAUAGAUAGAAAUACUUAUCGAGAUAAAUGGGGGUGCUCUCCCCCAAGCUGAAUUUUGACGUAAUUUCUCUUGAUGUAGCUAGCAGGUGGCAGAGGUGUAUUUGAAAGUCAGCAGCAUUCUGACAGCGAUUAGAAUGUCCUCCGUCUGCUAGUCUUCUUGAUUCUUAAAUUCUGUUUAGCUCAAAUAGACAACAAAGCUUGUGGAACUGAUUAAGUGUUAGCAUAAAUAUCUAGCCUUUAUCAUGUUGAGACUCCUUAAUAAAUAUUACUCCCUGUUUUUAUAUUUUUGUUUUUAUAAAGCAGAAAAAUAUUUAUUUUAUUUUUAUGCCACCACAGUGAAUGUACUUAUGGGUUUUAUGCCACUCGUCUACUCACAUGGAGCUUACAGUUUUUCACAUUUUUAUUUUCUUUCUAGGAUAAUACGAACAUGAUUAACUAAGUAAACUAUUUGAAAUAAUUGAAAGGGAAAGGAUAACUACCAAGUUUACCUCUUGGCAAGGCGUUCGGUGUUUUUAAGUCCUCCGAACGGGACUAUCCAUUUUCUCAAUUGUCCUGAGGUUCAUUGGGUGGCGUAGUCGGUACUUCCGGCAGCGCCUCCUCUUCUUGUAUAGUUAUCUUCAUUUUCCAUACCUGACUCGGUGCUUCAAUCUCCUCUGGAUAAUUCUGUUUAAACUCAACGUCUUCUGAUCUUACAAAUUCUCCUUCAUAGUCUGCCCAUCCGUCCUUGAUGAUCUGCCUCCUCUGGUUGCGGUUGCGUCUCUUUCUGACCUGCUUAGAUUCUUCAACGAUAUAGUCAGGGUCAAUAAAAUAACGGCGUACCUUCUUUGAGGGAAAGUGCAUAUAGACUUCUCUGGUUCCAAUGUAGAUAAUUGCUUUAACGGUGCUGAGGAACGGUCUUCCAAGGAUGAUGAGUGGAUCAUACUCAUCUUCUCCCAUGUCAACAACUUGAAAGUCUGUGUAGACAAAGUGAUCGUCUAUUUUGACUGGGACAUCAGUUACUGUUCCUUUGACUUCUCGAAAUGUCUGAUCUGCCAUCUGGAGCUGAAUGUAUGUUGGUCUUAGUGGCAUGGUCCCGAACAAGAGCCGAUACGUGACUGCGGCCAUUAUGUUGAUGCCCGAUCCGGUGUCGCAAAUUGUCUUGUAGAAGCUAUAUCCAUGUAUAGAGCAGUAGAUGCUUGGCAUUCCUGGGUCGUCCUUCUUGGUCAAAAACGGUGACUUAAGUUGAUGAUCUUGGCCUCCAUGAAUUGCAGUGACCAUCUUAGCUGACUCGGUCCACACUUGCUUGUUCUUGUUUCUCCUGUUGGUCCUCUUCUUUGAUUUACGUCUGGAUUGAUCUUGAAUUUGUGUAGUCUUGUUCUUGAAGAAAAAUGUCUCCUUCUUCCCUUUGACGUAGAAACUGAUCUUGGCAGCACUAGCAUAGAUGAUAGCUCCCGUGGUGUUCAAGAAUGGCCUCCCUAGGAUGAUAGGUGCUCUCUCAUCAUUUCCGGUCUCUACCACUACGAAGUCUGCUGGGGCAUAUAAGGUACCAACUCGGACACAAAGGUUCUUCACUAUUCCUUUUGGAAAAGUUAUCGUCUGAUCUGCAAACUGCAAACACAUGGUUGUCUCUAAUAAAGGAUAUGUAAAGAAUUUUUCAUAGAGUACCCUGGGUAUAAUGUUGACACUGGAGCCAAAGUCACAGAGUGCUUCUGGGACGUCCACCAUGCCGAUGGAGAUCGGGAUGACGGGGCGUCCUGGAUCUCCUCUCUUGACCGGCACAAGGUCAGUAGAAAACUCAGUGACGGGGUUACUCCAAUUACCUGCAUCAAACAAGUCUACAAGAUUUGCAUAUUUUAAUCCUUCCGGUUGUGAUGGUAUACCGGGGUUAGUAGUAGGAACAGCAGCAGCUAUUUGAUUUAACUGAGAUUCAAUCAUUUUAUUAAAGCUAAUUUGAUUCUUGAUGGCAGUAGAGAAAUUAUCCAUUCUAUUAUUUAUAUUUUCUAACAUUUUAUCAUUAGAUGCCAAUUUCUUAGAUAGGUUAUCCAUUAGCUUUCCUUGAUUAGACACUAACUCUCUCAAAGGUGGAAAAUUAUUAUUAUUGUUGUAAGAAUUGUUACCUUGAUAAUUACCUGAGUAGUUAGGCCUCUGUUGAUUCCAACCUUGAUUUUGUUGAGGACGGUUGUAGUAGUUGUUGUUGUUGUUGUUGAUGUAGUUCACAUCCUCAAGCAUCUCAGGGCAGUGGUUGCCUGAGUGUCCAGUGUCUCCACACUCCUCACAAGUCAUGUGAGAGUCGUAGAUGUGCAUAACUUCUUUCUUGUCUCCGGCUCUAUCAUCGAGCUUCUUCAUGAGCAGGUCUAGCUUUGCAGACAGCAUGUCUACCUCCUUCAGCUGAUGCAUACCUCCACCUCUCUUGCGUGUCUGGGUCCUCUCUUCAUUCCAGCUUUGAUUGGACGCCAUCUUCUCCACAAGAGCUGUGGCUUGUGGUAUAGUAAGUGAUAAGAAUACUCCUCCAGCUGCAGCAUCCAUGGUCUCUCGGGCACUGUUGCCGAGCCCAUGAUAGAACGUCUGCAUCAGUAGCCAACUCUCCAUUCCAUGAUGGGGACAUUCUAGGAUGUAGUCUUGAAAGUGCUCCCAUGCUUCUGGAACAGAUUCAUCAUUUUGUUGCUGAAAACUUGUAAUCUUCCCACGGAGAGCAUUGGUCUUGCCCAUGGGAAAGAACUUUGCCAGGAAGUUUAUUGAGCAGAGUGCCCACGUAGUAUUCUUCUCCUUUGUAGCGUAGAACCACUCCUUCGCUCUUCCUAACAGUGAGAAUGGGAAGAGGCGAAGUAGUAUAGCAUCUUUGGAAACUCCUGAUAUGGUGAAUGUGUUGCAAAUCUCCAGGAAGUGUUGUAAAUGAGCACUAGCAUCUUCGUGUGCCUUCCCACAGAACUGGUUGGAUUACACCAUGUUGAUAAGUCCAGGCUUGAGCUCAAAGUUGCCAUCGAUCUCUGCAGCAGGUCCAGUGCGGAUGUUGUCCGUAGUGGGAGCUGAGAACUCGCGGAUCGAUUUGUUCGCCAUGGCUUCGAACUCUGAAGACAAGUUCCGGUGAUCUUCUUGAUUGGAUGAAGCUUCUUCGUGAAGUGUUGAUGAUUUCUUCUUGGCUCUCGUCUUCUUGAAUAAUGCUUCGGGAUUGUCAACAAAAUUUCCUGGAAGAUGUCUUCUAUUCAUACAUUCCCCUGCAUAAGAUAAAAUAGAAAAAUAUCGGGGUAAAACUGUAUGAGAGAAUAGAUAAGCUCAAUCAUAUUAGUGAUGCGAAUGAUGACUCAAAAUCUUUUAUUCCAUUCCUGAUUAGUAAUCAACCUUCCCCGGCAACGGCGCCAAAAAUGCUUGUUGGGUAUUCUUAACAUCAUUACCAAAAGUAGACUAAGUUCUCUAAAUCUAGUAACGGUGCCAAAAAUGCCAAACCUAUCCCUCACACCACUUAAGCCAAGUUGUCAUCCCCAGCAUGACAUGAGAGACGCGGUAUUGAAAUAUGCAAUUGCUCUUCUAAAUAAAUAAUAAAUAGGAUCUGCAAGCGCACAGAUUAAUACCGAUGUAGCAUUUUAACCGGGAAGUACUCCAGGUAUCGUUAUUUAUAUUUUUACCACUGGGAAGGGAUUAGCAAUCAUCACUAUUGAUUACAGAAUAGAAUAUGAGAUUGAGCAUUUAUCAUUGCAUGUAUAAUUGAGAACAUUUAUAUCUAACUCUUCAUACAGGGAUAAGUGUCACAUAAAGGAUAUAUGAAAUAAUAAUAGUGACAAGGAUAACUAAUCUGAUCUAACCACAUAAUAAAUAUGAUAAGCACCUCAAUUAGAUACUCUAGAAAGUCAUUAGCAUGUUAUUAGAAUGAACUACAAGAAUAUUCCCUAAAUUAUUCUCAACUAUAUAGUCUAGCAUUAUCAUAAUUAGUGCAAGCAUACUUAGCAAUCAUUGUGAGACAAGACUACGCCCAUGCAUAGUGAUAUUAGCAAGGAAUAUGAGAAACAUAGCAAUCACUCCCCUGUAAUAAUGUUGCUCUGCCAGCCCAAUACACGAGAGGGGGACUAUAUAAGAAUCAGUGAAGCUGUCACUAUCACGAACUACCCCACGAUCUGGCAUAUUGGGUACAAUCGCAGAUAAAUACGGUAUAAGCACCACGCCUACACAAUAUCUAUCAUUUACCCAUGGAUCCGAUGGAUAAACGCUAUACGAUCCUAAGCAUGUAUAUAGAUCGAAUCUAACUAAGCCAAGUACAUAACUAUGAUAAACUAAGAACAAUAUAAUCUUGAAUAUAAGCAAGUAGAGCAAAGUCAUAAACAAUAUAUUGAAGUAGAACAAAGUCAUAUUCAUAAUAUUGAAGAACAAAGAUAAUUAGAAUGCAAUUAGAAGCACAAUUAGAGAAUUACCAAGAAUCCUCUUGACAGAUCUGGAAACCAAUCGAAGAUUGACUCCUUCUAGUUCUAAUCCUAUGUAGCUAUGCUAAUCUAGAUAUCUAAUUGAUGUGGUGGCUCUAAUCUUGAUCAGAGGCUUCUUCUUCCUUGAUGGAACAAUGAAUUAGGGUUGAGAGGCUCUCUCCUCCAGGGGCCAGGGGGUCUGGUUUUAUAAUCCCUUCAAGUGAAUAUGGGCCAUUGGAUCAAACCGACAUAGAUUGUAUGGUUUAGAUUCAUCCUUUAGGUCGGUGGAGAUCUCCCACGAAGCAGAGUCCUGAUUGGACUCCCAGAGGGGGCGGGCGCCCAGGGCAGGAGGGCGGGCGCCCUGCCUCUGGCCCCGUUUCGCCUCCGCUUCGGUCUCGUGGCUUCUGGAGCCUUCUAGAUGUAAUAUAAUUGCGCGGCACGUUAAUAUCUCUAUGUAAUCCCGACGUGUGGGCCUUUCUUCCGUAUUUCCUGAUAACCCCCUGCAGAAAUAGACAAACACCAAAACUCGUGGAAUUCUGUCAGAUAAAACCCUAAGUCUAGAUGUUGAUUUCAUUUGGAUCCUUUUCUUUGUUUAUUUGAUAAUUAAAUUUGAUACUUAAGGACCGUCAACAGGCGGGCGCCCUGGGCCUGGCCCCUUUCGGCCUCUGCUUUCUUCCCGUGGCUUCUGGAAUCUUCUAGAUGGUAGAAAAUUGCCCGGUGCGUUGAUAUCUCUAUGUAAUCCUGACAUGUGGGCCUUUCUUCCUUAUUUCCUGAUAACCCCCUACAGAAAUAGACAAACACCAAAACUCGUGGAAUUCUGUCAGAUAAAACCCUAAGUCUAGAUGUUGAUUUCAUUUGGAUCCUUUUCUUUGUUUAUUUGAUAAUUAAAUUUGAUACUUAAGGACCGUCAACAAACUCCCCCAAGCUUACCUCUUGCUCGUCCCUGAGCAAGGAUGGACUCAAGAGUUUCUGCAGUGGUUUCAUGCCUUAAGGGUACACACGCAUUCAAGCAAGAUCUCAUCUCUAAGUUAGAAUAAAUUGUUAAGACUUAAAACUUACUCAUUUUACCUUUCACCAUGGGGCUUGCAACCGUCACUUGUGUCUUGAGGAGUUAUAAGAUAGAACGGUCAAGUUAAGUGUCAUGUCUCUUGUUCUUUGAUCAGCUAUAGCUCUGGAGUUUUUGCAGAUUUUCAAAUAAAACUCAGAGAUUCCUUGUAUGAUUCUCUCAAAUCUCACUUUUGUGGUAUUUCUGGAUCCUUACCAAGGCAGUAAUGGUAUAUGCCUUCUCUCAAAGUAUGUGGUAUUUUUGGUAUAAUGCAUAGUGAUAUUGCCUUCUCUCUCACCCUACUCUAAUAAGGUUUUGAUAUCUGGAGCUCAUAGGUGGGAGACAGCUAAUACAUACAUACAAGACAUUUAUUGCAUAGUCAAACCAUGGAUCUAGAGAAACAAGUCAAUAAGUCAAAUCAAGAUGUGCAUGUGUGGCGAAUGAAUGGUGUAUGGUGAUGAUGGUGAUAAUAAUGGUGAAAGUCUAAUUCUACUUUUGCUCUUUUUAGGGGAUACAUACCUUUCUUGCACUUUGAAGCUUUUUGAGGAUAAUGAGAUGCUCUGUAUUUUCUUUUUUCUUUUUCUCUCAGGUGGGUACCUUGUACCCCUAAUUCUACUGUCGGACACUUGUCCAUUUUUACCUCUCGUCUCACUUUUUCUUUUCUUCGAGGUUCCGGGCACUUGCCCCUUUUUAUUUCCUCGUAUUCAUUUUUUUAUCUUUUCUCUUUUUUUUAGAGCACUCAUCUCCUGAAAUAAUAUAACAAGUGGUAGUAACCAAAAUAACUGGAGCUUUUAUUUCAUAGGGAAUAACAGGGAUAGGAAAAUGUUUUUGGCUAUUCUCUCCCGGAUUAGGAGUAGAAUAAUUUUGGGUGGUUCUGGAGAUGGAAAUGAGUGGAUAUAUGUGGAUGGUACUUCCGGAGUAGAAGUAGCAUGUAUGAGUGAACGUGCAAGUGAAUCUUGAUUUUAACCGCAUGACAAGCUCCUUAGGGUCUACACAGCUUGACCACACUCAAUGCUCAUAAGCAGUAAAAAGUAAAUGUGUGGCUCACAGUCUAAUAAGCAUGUAUAUAUGGCUGUGUUAGGAUUUUAAACUCUCAUCAUACAGGAACUCAUCAUGUGUUAUUUUAAAUAUUUUUUCAAAGAUAAAAUUCUCCAGAAUUCUAGCAUCUCUAGGAACAAAUAAAUAGCAGCUCAACCUUCCCAUAUUAUAUCCGUUAACAACUUAGACUUUAGAUCAAGUACUCUUCCUACAAGUUCAGGUUUAGAGCAGGUUUAAAUUAUAACAGUUAUACCUAAACUUGAGAGAGAUUUCAAUUUUAAGAACUAGUCAUGGCAGAGCAGCUAUUCAUCAUUUCCAUGUGAGAGCUUAUCAUGAGGGUUCAUAGAAAACUUUAUUUAUUUCUUUAUUUAGCAAACUAAGCAAAGAUAUAUAUAUAAAAGCACAAAAUCUUUAUUUAGGUUUUCAUGAUUAUGCAUCUUUUAUUAUUUGAGUAAAGUAUAAACGCGAGUAGAAACACUUAGCUGGAUAAAUGGGGGUGCUCUCCCCCAAGCUGGAUUUUGACGUAAUUUCUUCUGAUGUAGCUAGCAGGUGAUGGAGAUGUAUUUGAAAGUCGGCAGCACCCUGACAGCGAUUAGGAUGUCCUGCGUCUACUAGUCUUCUUUGAUCCUUGAAUUCUGUGGAGCUCAAAUAGACAACAAAGCUUUGUGGAACUGGUUAAGUGUUAGCAUAAAUAUCUAGCCUUUAUCAUGUUGAGCCUCCUCAAUAAAUGUUGCUUAUUUAGCAGGAUCAUAUACUUAUUAUUUAUAUUUUUAUUGUAAGAUGAAAACAUAUUUAUUUUAUGCCACCACAGUCAAUAUACCUAUGGGUUUUUAAACCACAAGUCUACUCACAUGGGGCUUACUAUUUUUAACAUUUUUAUUUUCUUUUCAAGAUAGUAUGAACCUGAUUAACUAAGCAAACUAUAAUUGAAUAAUUGAAAGGAAAAGGAUAACUACCAAGUUUAGCUCUUGGCAAGGCGUUCGGUGUUUUUAAGUCCUCCGGACGGGACCCUCCGUUUUCUCACUCGUCCUGGGAUUCGCUGGAUGGCGUAGUCGGUGAUUCCGGUGGCGCCUCCUCUUCGUGUAUGACUCGGUGCUACGGCCUCCUCAGGACAGUUCUGUUCAUGUUGUAUAUCUUCAGACCUUACCACUUCUCCUUCGUAGUCUGCCCAUCCGUCCUUGAUGAUUUGCCUCUUCUGGUUGCGGUUGCGUUGUCUUCUUCUUGUCCUGACCUGCUUAGAGUCUUCAACUAUAUAGUUAGAAUCAUUAAAGUAGUGGCGUACCUUCUCAGAGGGGAAGUGCAUAUGGACUUCUCUGGUUCCAAUAUAGAUGAUGGCUUUGAUAGUGUUUGAGGAACGGUCUUCCAAGGAUGAUGGGUGGAUCGAACUCGUCUUUUCCCAUGUCAAUGAUCUGAAAAUCAUCUAGAGCUGAAUAUAUAUUGGUUGUAGGGGCAUGGUUCCAUGCAGGAGCUCAUAAGUGACUGCGGCCAUUAUGUUGUCGUUAGAUCCGAUGUCGUAGAGUGUCUUCUAAAAAGAGUAUCUGUUGAUUGUGCACUCAAUGCUUGGAACACCAGGGUCGUCCUUCUUGAUCAAGAAAGGUGACUUGAGUCGACAAUCUUGACCUCCUUGAGCUGCAGUGACCAUCUUAGCUGACUCGGUCCACAUUUGCUUGUUCCUGUUCCUCCUGUUGGUCCUCUUCCUUGGUUCAUGUCAGGAUUGCUCUGAAGUUUGUGUAGUCUUGUUCUUGAAGGAAAGUCUCCUUCUUCCCCUUGAUGUAGAGACUGAUCUUGGCAGCAUUAGCGUAGAUGACAGCUCUGGUGUUUAGGAAUGGCCUCCCUAAGAUGAUGGGUGCCCUCUCCUCAGUACCAGUCUCUAUCACCACGAAGUUUGCUGGAGCGUACAAGGUACCAACUCGGACACAGAGGUUCUUCAAUAUUUCCUUUGGGAAACUAAGUGUCUGAUCUCCAUUGUGUUUGUGCUCGUAGAUUCCGGUUCUUCACUUGGUGGAAUCUGGGAGUUGUAAAACUCCUCCAUGUUUUGUUUGAAGUGUACCUAUUCAUAGAGACAAGGCAGAGAUCAAGUGCAUGGGCCCUGUUGGUGGAAAACACCAACAGAACCAAAAGUGUAUUUGUUCUUCUCUAACCUUAAGCAUAGUGAGCAAGACAAAGUUGAUGGAUCAUGAGUGUAGCAUUUAAAACAUUUGUU
RNAcentral lists this long non-coding RNA (10539 nucleotides) under Sorghum bicolor (sorghum). RNAcentral's name for it is "long non-coding RNA (SBIC_LNC009390)". The stretch from base 4450 to 4556 matches the Rfam family "Plant small nucleolar RNA R71". The record is from RNAcentral. Lineage: Eukaryota; Viridiplantae; Streptophyta; Magnoliopsida; Poales; Poaceae.